RNAcentral lists this long non-coding RNA (237 nucleotides) under Elaeis guineensis (African oil palm). RNAcentral describes it as "long non-coding RNA (EGUI_LNC059535)". Lineage: Eukaryota; Viridiplantae; Streptophyta; Magnoliopsida; Arecales; Arecaceae. The record is from RNAcentral.
AUCAGCUCCUCACGAAUGCUAGUUCGUGAUUUCAUCCUUUUGAUGGCAGAUGUUGAUCGAACUCCUUCAAUCGAUGUGUGCUGACUUCUCAGAUGCUCUGGAUCAUCUGCACAGUUGCUUGAGAGGCUGAUGGAUCUCUCCAUAAAAUUUGGUGGACUCACGACACUCGUGGCACACCAAUCUCACUUCCCGAACCCUAGGUAGAAACCCUAGGGUACACACCAAAAACCCAGCGCC